CUAAGGCUCUACGCCGAAGAAUCCAUUCAGUCGCCAUGCUUCGUCGACCUCCUCCUCCGACGGGAAAAGGAACGUGGAUCGGCAAGUACUCUGAACAAGAUCAAGCCGCUCUCACGGCCGUCGCGCGUCGAAGCGGCGCGUCCGGUGAGCUUACUGCCGGAGAUUUGGAGAGGAGAGGGCAAUCAUUCGCUGGGGCUGAGGAUGGGCGCGAGGAGAUCGAGGAAGAGCAGAUCGGAGUCGGCGCGGUGAGGUCACCGCCGCUGAGGUGCGAUGACUCGCUGACGCAGCAGGAGGAUGGGAUCGAGAGCGCGAUUGCGCACUGUAAACGGUCGUUUAGUGCGGAUAAUCGUUGAUUAGUAUUAUUAAUUUAGGAAUAUUUUUCUUCCCUCUCUCUCUCUCUCUCUCUCUUUUCUUCUAUUUCUCAAUCGCUAUAUUAAUUGAAUU
Molecule: long non-coding RNA, 444 nt
Organism: Asparagus officinalis (garden asparagus)
Lineage: Eukaryota; Viridiplantae; Streptophyta; Magnoliopsida; Asparagales; Asparagaceae
Exons: 2
Source: RefSeq, a predicted model, not a curated record